AGGUAAAACCACACUCUAAGGGUCACUGCUGACUACCAGCACAUUUUGCUGCAUUCUCUUGAUGACCUCAUGGGAAAGACAGUGAGUUAGUUUAAGAGAGGGCAUCUGUGUACCUGCUUCACCCUCUCCCUGUAUGGGUGAAACACUAAGCCUGAGAAGACCUAUGCUUCGGCAGAAUAAUUUGUGAAAAUACCUGUUUAUUGAAGCAUACUGCCUAGACUUAAUUUUAUUUGAAGUUUUGAAAAAUAAAGGAACAAGAAAGAAUGUAUGUAAAAAGUUGUUAAAUGUUAAUUGACUAAAGCCUAGUUUAAAACUUAGGAAGCAACCUUUCUCUGUUUAAACUGUGUGAGAAUCAGGUUUAAGUGAUUGGAGCUGGUUCUUGCAGUUGAAACUGGUUUUGGAAGCAGAUCAGUGCUUGUGAGGGUGGAUAUGACUAUGAAUCAAUUUCAGGACAUAUUAGAGGAUUACAGAGUGGAAGACUUCACUAAGUCUCUUCCAUUAAGAUCCUGGUUCACCACUGGAUCCCCAUGGAGACUGAAUGAAUGGCCGUGGGUCACCAAAGUUUUUCCUCAGAUUAUCACAGAAUACUGAGUACAGUUCCUUGUGCUAUAUACCAGGUGUCCAUUGGCCAAUCACUCCAUAUACCUCAAUGUGCAUAUGUCAGUCUCAGACCUCCAGUCCAUCCCUCCCUGCCACCUGCUCCCUUUGGUAAUGGUAAGUUUGUCUUCAAAGCCUGUGCAUCUGUUUCUCUUCUGCAAAUAAGUUCAUUUGUAUCCAUUUUUUAGAUUCACAUAUAAGUGAUAUCAUAAGAUGUCUCUCUUUCACUGUCUGGCUAACUUAGUAUGAUAAUCUCUAAAUCCAUCCAUGUUGCUGCAAAUGGCAUUAUUUCAUUAUUUUUAAUGCUUAAUUAAUAGUCCAUUGUAUAUAUGUACCACGUCUUCUUUAUCCAUUCCUUUGUCAAUGGACAAUUUACAAUAGCCAAGACAUGUAAGCAACCCAAAGUAUUCUUUUUAGCAAAGGAUAAUGUGUAGUGGUUAUCAAAUUUGGCUAUGGUUGCUAUAGAUCCUAAGAAUUCUGAAAUAAAAAUAUAAGUUAUCUCCACUGACCCCAUGCCACACACCCAAUUUAUAAAUGAUGGGAUAAAGAUAGGAUAAGAGCAAUGGAACCCCAUCUGUGGUGAUAUAAAAUAAAAGACACUGGUGCAUACCUUUUCUGAAAUCCCAAUGGCAGAUCUGGUGAGUGACUUAGGCUCUGGGAGUGAGGACUGCUCAUUAAUAAGGCCCUGAAAAUACUCUUUAAGAGAUCCUUUGCUCAUGGUUGUCCAUGGCCCUAAGCUCUGUCCACCUGAAGGGUCUUCCUUUUCUAUUACAGUGCUUGGCCAAAUCUGAAAUGGGCAUUGGAAGAAUAUGCUGAUACUCGGAUCUUUGUAUAUUAACGGAUCACUGUCUGUGUGUGGGUAUCUGGGUGACCAAGAGUCAUCGUAAGUCUCAAAUCAUCACAAACUCCUGUAUCUUUUAUCAGUACAGCUCUCUCAGAAAUUUAAUAGGAUUUUCAUCUGUUCGAUUCUAGCAAUCAGUUUUCCAGUAGCCACACUCUUCAUUCUUAAAAAGUUUCCCCAAACUCUAUGUGGACAAAACUGAUAAACUGUAUUUUUUUUUUUUUUUGACUUUUUGACUAACGGAAGGCACUUUAAGUCUAUCAGCUUUGGUACAGUAAAUCUACAUCUUACCUUCUUUAUACUGAGUCAUUUCUUCCAGUUGAAAAGUUACUAUGUCAGGAUUCCCACUUCUGGCCAUGAUGGAGAAACAUGGACCCAAUUUAAUAUCCUGCGUUAUACAACUAAAAAGCUGGUAAAACAUGUAAUUGUUUUCACACAUUGGGUAUAAGACAGUAUAGGAUUGUGAUCACUGAGAAAUAGGAAACAAAUGCAUAGGGUUCUAGGAUGCCCUAGUUUUCUAUCUGGAGGCACAUUUGGACCAGUGGGUUAGGGUUAGGGUUAGGGUUAGGGUUAGGGUUAGGGUUAGGGUUAGGGUUAGGGAAGAGGAUGCCAAACAGAGCUGUGGUUGCCUCAGUGAACUGAGAAGGCAAGAGGAUGCCAAACAGAGCUGUGGUUGCCUCAGUGAACUGAGAAGGCAAAGGUAAAAGUUUGGAGUGUCUGAGGUAGCUAGAAUUUGUGGAAAAGAGUUACAGAGAAGAGAAAGUAUCACAGAAAAGACCUCCAGAAAUCUUUGAGUUCCCUCGACUUUAGCUGAAUAACAAACUUUUGGUACAUAGAAUGAAAUUCUAUCAGUUUAGGCCAAAGAACAUCUGGGUAGCCAUGAGCUGAACAGUACCCAGAACUAACCCGUGGCCACAGUAAACUUCUUAGUAAUCACUCAGUGGAGACUAAGAAGGACCAUAGCUUAGUCAUCGGGCUAAGCUAGACCUAAGAGUAAA
Molecule: long non-coding RNA, 2436 nt
Filed under: Sus scrofa (pig)
Lineage: Eukaryota; Metazoa; Chordata; Mammalia; Artiodactyla; Suidae
Description: lncRNA (ENSSSCG00035020016.1)
Source: RNAcentral